GGGUUGUGAGGUUAAGCGACUAAGCGUACACGGUGGAUGCCCUGGCAGUCAGAGGCGAUGAAGGACGUGCUAAUCUGCGAUAAGCGCCGGUAAGGUGAUAUGAACCGUUAUAACCGGCGAUUUCCGAAUGGGGAAACCCAGUGUGACUCGUCACACUAUCAUUAACUGAAUCCAUAGGUUAAUGAGGCGAACCGGGGGAACUGAAACAUCUAAGUACCCCGAGGAAAAGAAAUCAACCGAGAUUCCCCCAGUAGCGGCGAGCGAACGGGGAGGAGCCCAGAGCCUGAAUCAGCAUGUGUGUUAGUGGAAGCGUCUGGAAAGGCGCGCGAUACAGGGUGACAGCCCCGUACACAAAAGCGCAUGUGCUGUGAGCUCGAUGAGUAGGGCGGGACACGUGGUAUCCUGUCUGAAUAUGGGGGGACCAUCCUCCAAGGCUAAAUACUCCUGACUGACCGAUAGUGAACCAGUACCGUGAGGGAAAGGCGAAAAGAACCCCGGCGAGGGGAGUGAAAAAGAACCUGAAACCGUGUACGUACAAGCAGUGGGAGCCCCACCACUAAGCCAGUGGUGAACUCCACAUACGCAUCCUUUGCUGAGGAUACGGUUAACGGAGCGAAAGCGACGUUCAACCUCAAAAGAAGCAGAGGGGGCUUAGUGGUGG
RNAcentral lists this ribosomal RNA (661 nucleotides) under Salmonella enterica. Its description in RNAcentral is "partial 23S ribosomal RNA". It matches the Rfam family "Bacterial large subunit ribosomal RNA", at positions 1 to 677 of the family's 2925-position model. RNAcentral also lists the same sequence under 1 other name. The record is from RNAcentral. Lineage: Bacteria; Pseudomonadati; Pseudomonadota; Gammaproteobacteria; Enterobacterales; Enterobacteriaceae.